AGUAACGCGUAGGUAAUCUACCCUUAUAUUUGGGAUAACAUUGGGAAACUGGUGCUAAUACCGAAUGGUCUUCUUUGCUGCAGGGCGAAGGAGUAAAGGUGGCCUCUUCAUGAAAGCUACCGUGUAGGGAUGAGCCUGCGUACCAUUAGCUAGUAGGUGAGGUAACGGCCCACCUAGGCUACGAUGGUUAGCGGGUCUGAGAGGAUGAUCCGCCACACUGGAACUGGAACACGGACCAG
RNAcentral lists this ribosomal RNA (239 nucleotides) under uncultured bacterium. RNAcentral describes it as "partial 16S ribosomal RNA". It matches the Rfam family "Bacterial small subunit ribosomal RNA", at positions 109 to 334 of the family's 1533-position model. The record is from RNAcentral.